CUUGAGAAAUCCAAAUCGUAUGUGGGAAAAAUCCGAAACAAACCCUAAUCUGUGGUUAAACGAAAUCCAAAGCUGUGGAGAGAGAGCCAUGGACGCGCUGAGGAAGCAGCUGGACCAGCUCAUGGGAGCCAAUCGGAACGGCGACGUCCGGGAGGUCAAUCGCAAAUAUUACGAUCGCGAUGUGUGUCGCCUCUACUUGGUCGGACUCUGCCCCCACGAGCUCUUCCAAUUAACGAAAAUGGAUAUGGGACCCUGCCCGAAGGUUCACUCUCUGCAGCUCAGAGAAGAAUACAAAGAAGCGAGAAAACAAGGGACUGAUAACUAUGACAGAGACCUGGAGGAUGUCAUAGAUAGGCUCAUUGUUGAAUGUGAUCGAAAAAUUUCUAGAGCCCUUAAGCGCCUCGAGGAUGAUGAUGCAAAAGCUGCUAUUGCAAUUUCUGUCUCUGAGGUUACUCAGACACCGGAGAUACUUGAGUUGUCAAAGCAGAUCAAAGAGAAGCUUGAAGAAGCUGAUAGAUUCGAUCUUGAAGGCAAGACAGAUCUUAAGAUUCGGGCUCUGGAGAUAUUAGAAGAACUCAGAGGCAAGAGAGCAGACAAACAGUCAAUGCUUCUUUUGGAUGCUUUCAAUAAGGAUAGGGCAGCUUUACCUCAACCCCUGCCAAACCCACCACCUUUGGCACCGUUGCCUGUAGUUGUUCCUGACGCUCGAACGCAGGAAAUGAUAAAUGAAAAGUUGAAGAAGGCAGAGGACCUUGGUGAGCAAGGAAUGGUUGAUGAGGCGCAAAAAGCAUUGGAAGAGGCUGAAGCACUGAAAAAGUUGCCUGCCCGGCAGGAGCCUGUCCUGGAUUCCUCUAAGUACACUGCUGCAGAUGUGCGCAUUACGGAUCAAAAGCUGCGUGUUUGUGACAUCUGUGGAGCAUUUCUGAGUGUUUAUGACAGUGAUCGUCGUUUAGCUGAUCAUUUUGGUGGGAAACUUCAUUUAGGCUAUAUGCAAAUCCGUGAGAAGUUAGCAGAGCUGCAGGCUGAGAGAAACAAGAUUCGCAAGGUUGAUCGGUAUGAUGAAAGAAGAUCAAAAGAGAGGAGCAAGGAACGUGACAGAGAAUCAAGUAGGGACAAGGAACAGGGAGAUAGCCGCGACCGGGGGAGGGAUCUCGAUCGUAGGAGUAGAGAUCGUGAUAGGUACUAUGAUCGCGAUCGUGGAGAGCGUGACAGAGAUUCAAACCGUUCCCGCAAUUAUGAUUCAAGAAGUCACCGUAGGUCACGCUCUCGGUCACGUGAACGUUCCAAGGAUUAUGAUCGCCACAGGCGUUAUGACCGAUACUAGUUCUUGCUUUGGAGUAUGCGGAAAAAGGAUAUUUCGUGUUCUUGUCUAGGUCAGUUUUAAAACUUAUGUACCCAGACGGUAUAAUGUUUCUUCCUAAGUUCUUUUGUUGGAGUUGAGCUGUUUCUCCUGUGAUGGAUGUAAGGACUGCUGCUUAGUUUUUCUCAACUUCAUAUUUAAGAGGUAUGCAUGAGAGAACUCUUUACGAAGAUGGAAGGUCUCUUUGGCAAAGAUUGUCUUGUGCGGUGUGUGAUCCGGAUCUGUUCUAUCAAUGAUCUUGUGCAUAUAAAAGCUUCAGGACAUAUAUAUAUGUUCUUGGGAGUUGUAGUUGUGAGGUUUUGAUAUUAUGCUGUGAAACAAUUAAUGUCAGAACUGUUAUGUGCUUGCUGGAGAAAGUUCAAUUGGCCUAUUUAUAUAUUUUAAAAACAAUCUCAAGUUUCUGAAUCAA
This is an RNA transcript of Rosa rugosa (rugosa rose), 1769 nucleotides long. RefSeq lists it as uncharacterized. The record is from RefSeq and is a predicted model, not a curated record. Lineage: Eukaryota; Viridiplantae; Streptophyta; Magnoliopsida; Rosales; Rosaceae. The transcript is spliced from 14 exons.